This 541-nucleotide ribosomal RNA is filed under the name uncultured bacterium. Its description in RNAcentral is "bacterial SSU rRNA". It matches the Rfam family "Bacterial small subunit ribosomal RNA", at positions 355 to 896 of the family's 1533-position model. The record is from RNAcentral.
UAAGGAAUAUUGGUCAAUGGACGCAAGUCUGAACCAGCCAUGCCGCGUGGAGGAUGAAGGUCCUCUGGAUUGUAAACUUCUUUUAUCUGGGACGAAACACUCCUAUUCUUAGGGGCCUGACGGUACCAGAUGAAUAAGCACCGGCUAACUCCGUGCCAGCAGCCGCGGUAAUACGGAGGGUGCAAGCGUUAUCCGGAUUCACUGGGUUUAAAGGGUGCGUAGGUGGGUGUAUAAGUCAGUGGUGAAAUCCCCGAGCUUAACUUGGGAACUGCCGUUGAUACUAUAUAUCUUGAAUAUCGUAGAGGUAAGCGGAAUAUGUCAUGUAGCGGUGAAAUGCUUAGAGAUGACAUAGAACACCAAUUGCGAAGGCAGCUUGCUAUGCGAUUAUUGACACUGAGGCACGAAAGCGUGGGUAGCAAACAGGAUUAGAUACCCUGGUAGUCCACGCCCUAAACUAUGGAUACUCGACAUACGCGAUACACAGUGUGUGUCUGAGCGAAAGCAUUAAGUAUCCCACCUGGGAAGUACGACCGCAAGGUUG